GGGGAUGUUUUGGUUUUGACAGCAAAUCGAAUCGGAAAGUAAGCACGCCGAGAGUCGUGAUGCCAUCUCGUUAAUCACGGGUCACAAGCCGUAAAUGGCGAAAACAACUUUGCACUCGCUGCGUAAUUAAGCAGAGCUUUUUACGCUUAAUCACCGCCGGCCAGGUCCGGCCGUGACGAGUAUCCCGCCUGACUUUGUGCCGACUAUAUCAGGCAAUGGGGUAUCAUUAAAGCCGGCUGCAGACAUUUACUCCUCUAAGAUGUCUUAAGAACAAGAGGAUAAGCCUAGGGUAUCGUGUCUGUUGGCAGCCCUUGGAUGAAAAACAAGAACAGACUAAGCGUGUAGAAAGCUUUUGGAUGGUUUGUCUGGACGGCGGUUCGAGUCCGCCCAUCUCCACAG
Molecule: transfer-messenger RNA, 399 nt
Filed under: Bacteroidales
Lineage: Bacteria; Pseudomonadati; Bacteroidota; Bacteroidia
Also listed under: 1 other name
Description: Bact-08 sp003520315 Standard tmRNA
Rfam family: transfer-messenger RNA
About the family: Bacterial tmRNA, also known as 10Sa RNA or SsrA, is named for its dual tRNA and mRNA-like properties. Its role is to liberate the mRNA from a stalled ribosome. To accomplish this part of the tmRNA is used as a reading frame that ends in a translation stop signal.
Source: RNAcentral